This 97-nucleotide transfer RNA is filed under the name Corynespora cassiicola Philippines. It matches the Rfam family "tRNA". From Rfam's summary of the family: Transfer RNA (tRNA) molecules are approximately 80 nucleotides in length. Their secondary structure includes four short double-helical elements and three loops (D, anti-codon, and T loops). Further hydrogen bonds mediate the characteristic L-shaped molecular structure. tRNAs have two regions of fundamental functional importance: the anti-codon, which is responsible for specific mRNA codon recognition, and the 3' end, to which the tRNAs corresponding amino acid is attached (by aminoacyl-tRNA synthetases). tRNAs cope with the degeneracy of the genetic code in two manners: having more than one tRNA (with a specific anti-codon) for a particular amino acid; and 'wobble' base-pairing, i.e. permitting non-standard base-pairing at the 3rd anti-codon position. Lineage: Eukaryota; Fungi; Ascomycota; Dothideomycetes; Pleosporales; Corynesporascaceae. The record is from Rfam by way of RNAcentral.
GCCCGCUUAGCUCAGUGGUAGAGCGCGACACUAGUAACUACACAGCCCAGUUGUCUAGUAUAUGUCGAGGCCGCCAGUUCAAUUCUGGUAGCGGGCA